This is a non-coding RNA of Podarcis lilfordi (Lilford's wall lizard), 75 nucleotides long. Lineage: Eukaryota; Metazoa; Chordata; Lepidosauria; Squamata; Lacertidae. The record is from the annotation of a GenBank genome assembly.
GCAGCUCCAAUUCCAGUCCGGUAGAGCCCGAGACACUCACUCUUGGGGUUGUGGGUUCGAGCCCCGUGUUAGGCA